AACGAACGCUGGCGGCAUGCCUAACACAUGCAAGUCGAACGAGCCCUUCGGGUCUAGUGGCGCACGGGUGCGUAACGCGUGGGAACCUGCCCUUAGGUUCGGAAUAACUCCCCGAAAGGGGUGCUAAUACCGGAUAAUGUCUUCGGACCAAAGAUUUAUCGCCUUUGGAUGGGCCCGCGUUGGAUUAGCUAGUUGGUAGGGUAAAAGCCUACCAAGGCGACGAUCCAUAGCUGGUCUGAGAGGAUGAUCGGCCACACUGGGACUGAGACACGGCCCAGACUCCUACGGGAGGCAGCAGUGGGGAAUAUUGGACAAUGGGCGAAAGCCUGAUCCAGCAAUGCCGCGUGAGCGAUGAAGGCCUUAGGGUUGUAAAGCUCUUUUACCCGGGAUGAUAAUGACAGUACCGGGAGAAUAAGCUCCGGCUAACUCCGUG
This 433-nucleotide ribosomal RNA is filed under the name uncultured bacterium. RNAcentral's name for it is "partial 16S ribosomal RNA". It matches the Rfam family "Bacterial small subunit ribosomal RNA", at positions 29 to 507 of the family's 1533-position model. The record is from RNAcentral.